Molecule: long non-coding RNA, 1050 nt
Filed under: Salmo salar (Atlantic salmon)
Lineage: Eukaryota; Metazoa; Chordata; Actinopteri; Salmoniformes; Salmonidae
Description: lncRNA (ENSSSAG00000106035.1)
Source: RNAcentral
UAUUGGGAAAAAAUCCAAACCAGUACUUUUGGGAAUGAUUGCACUCAUUAGCAUUUAUCACUGACCAAAAAUAGCAAUACUUCAUUAAACCCAAAUGAUCACUCAGAGAGUUUAUAGCUUGUUGCAGUCUCCAAGUAAUAAACUAUGUUUAGAUGCUACCUGUUGCUUAGCCUGAUAGCAGAUCUGUAUGUGCUGUAACCAACUCCCUUGUCAUUCGUUGUCAUACCAUACAUGUUUGCCAUGACAACAAGCACAUCAGAGGACUUGGCUAAAACCCAGGCUGAUCUGCUACCAGGCUACAUGGUGCUGCCCAUCCCUGACUCAACAUAUGAAGGUGAAUGGAUGAAGAACAUGGAGACAGGUCUCCGUUGGAUAAGUUAAAACCCAGAACCGAGUCAGCAGUAUCAAAGACCAACAGCCUAGGUCCAGUCUCUCAACGGUGCCCAUCAUAAUAUUAUGCCGGUGAUGCCAUCAACACCACACCUCUACUUCUAGUUGGAAGGCAGACAGAAACUACCUGUACUCUGAAAGAUAAUAGUUUUAUCCGCUUCUGUAUUAAAACGCUUUCUGUGAUUUCAUUAUUCUCUGAGGGGAUGUUAUUCUCUGUUUGGCUUUUAUGCUUUCUUACAAAUGUUCCUCUGGACAAAAGUUGAAUUAAAAGGUGGGUUAUUAAUCUGAUGUCAGGGGCAUGCUGAAUAAAACUAUUAUUCAGCCUGACUCAGUCCAUGCGAAAGAGAGAGAGAAAGAUGGAGAUGAACACAGAGAGAGUGUGAGAGAGAAAGAUGGAGAUGAACACAGAGAGAGUGUGAGAGAGAAAGAUGGAGAUGAACACAGAGAGAGUGUGAGUGAGAAAGAUGGAGAUGAACACAGAGAGAGUGUUGAGAGAGAAAGAUGGAGAUGAACACAGAGAGAGUGUGAGAGAGAAAGAUGGAGAUGAACACAGAGAGAGUUGUGAGAGAGAAAGAUGGAGAUGAACACAGAUUGUGAAAGAGAAAGAUGGAGAUGAACACAGAGAGAGUGUGAGUGAGAAAGAUGGAGAUGAACACAGAG